This is a long non-coding RNA of Homo sapiens (human), 1032 nucleotides long. The record is from Ensembl. NCBI's taxonomy places the organism in Eukaryota, Metazoa, Chordata, Mammalia, Primates, Hominidae.
ACUGUUUUCAUGGAAGUGAAUAAGUCUCACAAGAUCUGAUGGUUUUAUAAGAGGAAACCCCUUUUGCUUGGCUCCAAUUCUUCUCCAUGCUUCCCCAUGUAAGAUGUGCCUUUCACCUUCUGCCAUGAUUAUGAGGCCUCCCGAGCCACGUGGAACUAGCUGGAACACCCUUCUUCUCCUGCCUUUGGACAUCAGAACUUCAGAUUCUCUGGCCUUCAGACUUCAAGACUUGCACUAGUGGCCCCCUGGGUUCUCAAGGUUUUGGCCGCCUCGGUUGAGAGUUACACCAUCGGCUUCUUUGGUUCUGAGGCCGUUGGAGUUGGACUGAGCCAUGCUACCAGCUUCCCUGGGUCUCCAGCCUGCAGAUUGCCUACUGUGAGAUUUAGCCUCCAUAAUCACGUGAGCCAAUUCUCUUAACAAAUCACUUCUCAUAUCUUUCUCCUUCUACAUAUCUUAUUGGCUUUGUCUCUGUGGAGAACCCUGAUUAAUACAGCUUCUAAACUGAUAAAUGCUCACUUAUACCCAUUGAGUUGAGAUUGCUUCCUGUCUAGCCUCAAGGCUCUGUCCUCUGAAAGCCACGCUUGGGAUCUUCAGGUAACAGAAUAUUGGCAUGUAGCACUCCUCAAAACAUAGAAAGCAGAAACAAAUCAAUUCUGCCUGGAGGACCUCCCCGAUCUCAACACCCAGUGGUUUUGACAGAAUUGAUAUAGAAAUAGAAGCUUCAAGCAACCUUACGAUGGAGGCAGAAGAAGGAUUCUAUGGUUGGAAACCUGCCAGACUCACAGGCUACGGAGAAGAAAGGCUAAAUCCACCAGACUGUUGGAUGCACCUAAAACAAAUUGCCCUCCGUGGCUUGGUUUCUUAUUAAUAUACUCAUAGAAAUGCACAAGAACUGAAAGCUCGAUAGGGAAACCAAAAAAUAAAAAUUAAAAAAAAAAAGCUGUAAACCAAUGUUUCUUAAAACAUGCUCUGCAGAACACUCGUUUGGUGGAACGUAAAGUGUUCUUUCAUAUUAAAGGAGUUGCGUGUUAA